GAUGAACGCUGGCGGCGUGCCUAAUACAUGCAAGUCGAGCGAACGGACGAGAAGCUUGCUUCUCUGAUGUUAGCGGCGGACGGGUGAGUAACACGUGGAUAACCUACCUAUAAGACUGGGAUAACUUCGGGAAACCGGAGCUAAUACCGGAUGAUAUUUUGAACCGCAUGGUUCAAAAGUGAAAGACGGUCUUGCUGUCACUUAUAGAUGGAUCCGCGCUGCAUUAGCUAGUUGGUAAGGUAACGGCUUACCAAGGCAACGAUGCAUAGCCGACCUGAGAGGGUGAUCGGCCACACUGGAGCUGAGACACGGUCCAGACUCCUACGGGAGGCAGCAGUGGGGAAUCUUCCGCAAUGGGCGAAAGCCUGACGGAGCAACGCCGCGUGAGUGAUGAAGGUCUUCGGAUCGUAAAACUCUGUUAUUAGGGAAGAACAUAUGUGUAAGUAACUGUGCACAUCUUGACGGUACCUAAUCAGAAAGCCACGGCUAACUACGUG
Molecule: ribosomal RNA, 497 nt
Filed under: uncultured bacterium
Lineage: Bacteria
Description: partial 16S ribosomal RNA
Rfam family: Bacterial small subunit ribosomal RNA
Source: RNAcentral